CAGUAGCCACGGUAAUACGUAGGUGGCAAGCGUUGUCCGGAAUUAUUGGGCGUAAAGGGCUCGCAGGCGGUUUCUUAAGUCUGAUGUGAAAGCCCCCGGCUCAACCGGGGAGGGUCAUUGGAAACUGGGAAACUUGAGUGCAGAAGAGGAGAGUGGAAUUCCACGCGUAGCGGUGAAAUGCGUAGAGAUGUGGAGGAACACCAGUGGCGAAGGCGACUCUCUGGUCUGUAACCGACGCUGAGGAGCGAAAGCGUGGGGAGCGAACAGGAUUAGAUACCCCAGUAGUCCCUGUCUCUUAUAA
RNAcentral lists this ribosomal RNA (301 nucleotides) under uncultured bacterium. RNAcentral describes it as "partial 16S ribosomal RNA". It matches the Rfam family "Bacterial small subunit ribosomal RNA", at positions 509 to 809 of the family's 1533-position model. The record is from RNAcentral.